CCUACGGGGUGCAGCAGUGAGGAAUAUUGGUCAAUGGACGAGAGUCUGAACCAGCCAAGUAGCGUGAAGGAUGACUGCCCUAUGGGUUGUAAACUUCUUUUAUAUGGGAAUAAAAUGGUCCACGUGUGGGCUUUUGUAUGUACCAUAUGAAUAAGGAUCGGCUAACUCCGUGCCAGCAGCCGCGGUAAUACGGAGGAUCCGAGCGUUAUCCGGAUUUAUUGGGUUUAAAGGGAGCGUAGGUGGAUUGUUAAGUCAGUUGUGAAAGUUUGCGGCUCAACCGUAAAAUUGCAGUUGAAACUGGCAGUCUUGAGUACAGUAGAGGUGGGCGGAAUUCGUGGUGUAGCGGUGAAAUGCUUAGAUAUCACGAAGAACUCCGAUUGCGAAGGCAGCUCACUGGACUGCAACUGACACUGAGGCUCGAAAGUGUGGGUAUCAAACAGGAUUAGAUACCCUUGUAGUC
Molecule: ribosomal RNA, 460 nt
Filed under: uncultured bacterium
Lineage: Bacteria
Description: partial 16S ribosomal RNA
Rfam family: Bacterial small subunit ribosomal RNA
Source: RNAcentral